This 468-nucleotide ribosomal RNA is filed under the name uncultured bacterium. Its description in RNAcentral is "partial 16S ribosomal RNA". It matches the Rfam family "Bacterial small subunit ribosomal RNA", at positions 28 to 507 of the family's 1533-position model. The record is from RNAcentral.
GACGAACGCUGGCGGCGUGCUUAACACAUGCAAGUCGAACGGAAAGGCCCUGCUUUUGCGGGGUGCUCGAGUGGCGAACGGGUGAGUAACACGUGAGGAGCCUCCCCUUGACUUUGGGAUAACUUCAGGAAACUGGGGCUAAUACCGGAUAGGAGCUCCUGCUGCAUGUUGGGGGUUGGAAAGUUUCGGCGGUUGUGGAUGGACUCGCGGCUUAUCAGCUUGUUGGUGGGGUAGUGGCUUACCAAGGCUUUGACGGGUAGCCGGCCUGAGAGGGUGACCGGCCACAUUGGGACUGAGGUACGGCCCAGACUCCUACGGGAGGCAGCAGUGGGGAAUCUUGCACAAUGGGCGGAAGCCUGAUGCAGCAACGCCGCGUGCGGGAUAACGGCCUUCGGGUUGUAAACCGCUUUCGCCUGUAACGAAGCGUGAGUGACGGUAAUGGGUAAAGAAGCACCGGCUAACUACGUG